GAUGAAGAACGCAGCGAAAUGCGAUAAGUAAUGUGAAUUGCAGAAUUCAGUGAAUCAUCGAAUCUUUGAACGCACAUUGCGCCCGGUAGUAUUCUGGCGGGCAUGCCUGUUCGAGCGUCAUUUCAACCAUCAAGCCCUGCUUGUGUUGGGGUCCUGCGGCUGCCCGCAGGCCCUGAAAACCAGUGGCGGGCUCGCUAGUCACACCGAGCGCAGUAGCACAUCUCGCUCAGGGCGUGCGGCGGGCUCCAGCCGUUAAAGCACCCACCUUUCGCAAGGUUGACCUCGGAUCAGGUAGGAAUACCCGCUGAACUUAAGCAUAUCAAUAAGCGGAGGA
Molecule: unclassified non-coding RNA, 334 nt
Filed under: soil metagenome
Description: partial contains 5.8S ribosomal RNA, internal transcribed spacer 2, and large subunit ribosomal RNA
Rfam family: 5.8S ribosomal RNA (bases 1-120)
Source: RNAcentral